This 664-nucleotide ribosomal RNA is filed under the name uncultured Vibrio sp. RNAcentral describes it as "bacterial SSU rRNA". It matches the Rfam family "Bacterial small subunit ribosomal RNA", at positions 35 to 677 of the family's 1533-position model. The record is from RNAcentral. Lineage: Bacteria; Pseudomonadati; Pseudomonadota; Gammaproteobacteria; Vibrionales; Vibrionaceae.
GCUGGCGGCAGGCCUAACACAUGCAAGUCGAGCGGAAACGACAUUAACAAUCCUUCGGGCUGCGUUAAUGGGCGUCGAGCGGCGGACGGGUGAGUAAUGCCUAGGAAAUUGCCUUGAUGUGGGGGAUAACCAUUGGAAACGAUGGCUAAUACCGCAUAAUGCCUACGGGCCAAAGAGGGGGAUCUUCGGACCUCUCGCGUCAAGAUAUGCCUAGGUGGGAUUAGCUAGUUGGUGAGGUAAUGGCUCACCAAGGCGACGAUCCCUAGCUGGUCUGAGAGGAUGAUCAGCCACACUGGAACUGAGACACGGUCCAGACUCCUACGGGAGGCAGCAGUGGGGAAUAUUGCACAAUGGGCGAAAGCCUGAUGCAGCCAUGCCGCGUGUAUGAAGAAGGCCUUCGGGUUGUAAAGUACUUUCAGUUGUGAGGAAGGGGGUAACGUUAAUAGCGUUAUCUCUUGACGUUAGCAACAGAAGAAGCACCGGCUAACUCCGUGCCAGCAGCCGCGGUAAUACGGAGGGUGCGAGCGUUAAUCGGAAUUACUGGGCGUAAAGCGCAUGCAGGUGGUUCAUUAAGUCAGAUGUGAAAGCCCGGGGCUCAACCUCGGAACUGCAUUUGAAACUGGUGAACUAGAGUGCUGUAGAGGGGGGUAGAAUUUCAGGUGUA